GACGAACGCUGGCGGCGUGCUUAACACAUGCAAGUCGAACGGAAAGGCCCUGCUUUUGUGGGGUGCUCGAGUGGCGAACGGGUGAGUAACACGUGAGUAACCUGCCCUUGACUUUGGGAUAACUUCAGGAAACUGGGGCUAAUACCGGAUAGGAGCUCCUGCUGCAUGGUGGGGGUUGGAAAGUUUCGGCGGUUGGGGAUGGACUCGCGGCUUAUCAGCUUGUUGGUGGGGUAGUGGCUUACCAAGGCUUUGACGGGUAGCCGGCCUGAGAGGGUGACCGGCCACAAUGGGACUGAGAUACGGCCCAGACUCCUACGGGAGGCAGCAGUGGGGAAUAUUGCACAAUGGGCGGUAGCCUGAUGCAGCAACGCCGCGUGCGGGAUGACGGCCUUCGGGUUGUAAACCGCUUUCGCCUGUGACGAAGCGUGAGUGACGGUAAUGGGUAAAGAAGCACCGGCUAACUACGUG
This 468-nucleotide ribosomal RNA is filed under the name uncultured bacterium. RNAcentral describes it as "partial 16S ribosomal RNA". It matches the Rfam family "Bacterial small subunit ribosomal RNA", at positions 28 to 507 of the family's 1533-position model. The record is from RNAcentral.